Morus notabilis is the source of this 724-nucleotide long non-coding RNA. RefSeq lists it as uncharacterized. The transcript is spliced from 3 exons. NCBI's taxonomy places the organism in Eukaryota, Viridiplantae, Streptophyta, Magnoliopsida, Rosales, Moraceae. The record is from RefSeq and is a predicted model, not a curated record.
UCCCAUGACCCCUCCUUUAUAAGGAAAAAGAUGGAACCAAAAACUCUACUUCCUUCACUCAUUUUUCUCUCGCACUCUCACUCUUGUAAGCUAGAAAACUCUCCUCAAAUUUCUCAUUUGCACCCAAGCCUCUUCACAGCCCAAUCUCUCUUGAUUCUCCCCCAAAUCUCUAAAACACCACUUCUAAGAAGCUUGGAUGGAGAAGUCUACAAACUAAAGAUGUUAGCAAGGAGAUCAAGAAGGUUUGGAGCGUAAAAGGAAAGGAGAACCCCAACCUAGAGAAGGAAGAGUCCAGCCUCUUCUUUCUCGUCUAGUCUGGCACUGCUCUUCCGUCGACCAUGCCGUUAUCGCCUACCAUUCAACUACGUUGUUGGACUUUCCUUUAGAAAAAAAAAAAAGGGAACUACUGCAAAUCGAGGGAGGAAAGAGAAAGAGCCGCCACCGUCGCCGCGCAAGCUCAACCUUAUUGGGAGACCUUCUGUCACGAGCCCAGCAGCUGUCAAUCCUUUAGGUUGUCACCGCUCAAAUUCCUCUGUGGAAAACCUGAAUAUUCGUCGUCCAGAUCUCUCCAAGCCUCCCGCUGGUUCAAUACCAGACCGCCGCCGCCUCCCAUCAACACAAUAUCCUCUCAAGGCUGCUACGCACUUGCACAAGUUGGUCACUUUCUUGGGCCAAGUACUAUUGUUUGGAGUUUUUCGUAUUCUGAUCGUCAAAGUUUGAUUGU